Chiloscyllium plagiosum (whitespotted bambooshark) is the source of this 544-nucleotide non-coding RNA. Lineage: Eukaryota; Metazoa; Chordata; Chondrichthyes; Orectolobiformes; Hemiscylliidae. The record is from RefSeq and is a predicted model, not a curated record.
UGAAGGAACUUUGACAAUCUCAGACAUCAUAAUGCAACAAGUUACCUGGACUUGGUUUAAGGUUAGGUACUUCUGAUUUGGUCUGUCAUCGGCAUCAAGAAGGUGUGACUAUAAGUGAGAGUUCCUUGCACAGCAGCAAACCAGGAGCAAGCAUCCUUAACAAAAUGGAACCAAACCUUUAUAAGAUCUCGGAAGUACUUCAACAGAAAAAAGAAAGGAAAUCAAAAGAUGCCAUCGCUGCACUGGAAAGAAGUGAACUCGCCAUGUGCUCCAUGCUGAUGGAAGACUAUGAAUAAUGAGUUCUUACAUGAAGGGAAAUGUUUUUAGUUAGAGAAAGAAACAGGAAGCCAGGGAAUGCCUUGUUUUACAUGGGAAAAGGUGAUGUAGUGCCAAAAGUUGAAUUGUUGUACAUUGUGCUGUUUAGACAUUUCCCAUUAAAAAAAAGAAAAUUUUAGCACCAUGUGACUGUAUGGUGAAAACACAGAUAGCUGGAAAUCCUACACAAAGAGUUUCAAUUAUUUUGUUUUAGCUAAUAAAGUAUAUA